Molecule: ribosomal RNA, 253 nt
Filed under: uncultured bacterium
Lineage: Bacteria
Description: partial 16S ribosomal RNA
Rfam family: Bacterial small subunit ribosomal RNA
Source: RNAcentral
UACGUAGGGUGCAAGCGUUGUCCGGAAUUAUUGGGCGUAAAGAGCUCGUAGGCGGUUUGUCGCGUCUGCUGUGAAAACUCGGGGCUUAACUCCGGGCCUGCAGUGGGUACGGGCAGACUAGAGUGCGGUAGGGGAGACUGGAAUUCCUGGUGUAGCGGUGAAAUGCGCAGAUAUCAGGAGGAACACCGGUGGCGAAGGCGACUACCUGGCCUGUUCUUGACGCUGAGGCGCGAAAGCUAGGGGAGCAAACGGG